UUAAACCUCUUCCAGAGUAUCAAUUGGAGGGCAAGUCUGGUGCCAGCAGCCGCGGUAAUUCCAGCUCCAAUAGCGUAUAUUAAAAUUGUUGCAGUUAAAAAGCUCGUAGUUGAAUUUCUGCUGCAUUGCUUUUGCUCCUUUACGAGUCUUUGCAUUGUGGCUUAUUUCGGACUUUGUUUUACAAUGUCCGGAUGUUUACUUUGAGAAAAUUAGAGUGCUCAAAGCAGGCUUUCGCCUUGAAUAGUUUAGCAUGGAAUAAUAAAGUAGGACUUUGGUUCUAUCUUGUUGGUUUUAGGUACCAAAGUAAUGGUUAAUAGGAACAGUUGGGGGCAUUCGUAUUUAACUGUCAGAGGUGAAAUUCUUAGAUUUGUUAAAGACGAACUACUGCGAAAGCAUUUGCCAAGGAUGUUUUCAUUAAUCAAGAACGAAAGUUAGGGGGAUCGAAGACGAUCAGAUACCGUCGUAGUCCUAACCAUAAACUAUGCCGACUAGAGAUUGGAGGUCGUCAGUUUUUUACGACUCCAUUCGCACCUUGAGAGAAAUCUAAGUCUUUGGGUUCUGGGGG
This 565-nucleotide ribosomal RNA is filed under the name Theileria sp. RNAcentral's name for it is "SSU rRNA". It matches the Rfam family "Eukaryotic small subunit ribosomal RNA", at positions 525 to 1120 of the family's 1831-position model. Lineage: Eukaryota; Apicomplexa; Aconoidasida; Piroplasmida; Theileriidae. The record is from RNAcentral.